RNAcentral lists this ribosomal RNA (750 nucleotides) under Weissella sp. RNAcentral's name for it is "bacterial SSU rRNA". It matches the Rfam family "Bacterial small subunit ribosomal RNA", at positions 29 to 736 of the family's 1533-position model. Lineage: Bacteria; Bacillati; Bacillota; Bacilli; Lactobacillales; Lactobacillaceae. The record is from RNAcentral.
GGGGACGUGCGGGGUGCUAUCAUGCAAGUCGAACGCUUUGUGGUUCACUGAUUUGAAGAGCUUGCUCAGAUAUGACGAUGGACAUUGCAAAGAGUGGCGAACGGGUGAGUAACACGUGGGAAACCUACCUCUUAGCAGGGGAUAACAUUUGGAAACAGAUGCUAAUACCGUAUAACAAUAGCAACCGCAUGGUUGCUACUUAAAAGAUGGUUCUGCUAUCACUAAGAGAUGGUCCCGCGGUGCAUUAGUUAGUUGGUGAGGUAAUGGCUCACCAAGACGAUGAUGCAUAGCCGAGUUGAGAGACUGAUCGGCCACAAUGGGACUGAGACACGGCCCAUACUCCUACGGGAGGCAGCAGUAGGGAAUCUUCCACAAUGGGCGAAAGCCUGAUGGAGCAACGCCGCGUGUGUGAUGAAGGGUUUCGGCUCGUAAAACACUGUUGUAAGAGAAGAAUGACAUUGAGAGUAACUGUUCAAUGUGUGACGGUAUCUUACCAGAAAGGAACGGCUAAAUACGUGCCAGCAGCCGCGGUAAUACGUAUGUUCCAAGCGUUAUCCGGAUUUAUUGGGCGUAAAGCGAGCGCAGACGGUUAUUUAAGUCUGAAGUGAAAGCCCUCAGCUCAACUGAGGAAUUGCUUUGGAAACUGGAUGACUUGAGUGCAGUAAAGGAAAGUGGAACUCCAUGUGUAGCGGUGAAAUGCGUACAUUUAUGGGAAGAACACCCUUUGGCGGAGGGCGGCUUUCCUGGCCU